Molecule: unclassified non-coding RNA, 1638 nt
Filed under: Bombus terrestris (buff-tailed bumblebee)
Lineage: Eukaryota; Metazoa; Arthropoda; Insecta; Hymenoptera; Apidae
Description: misc RNA ENSBTSG00005021440.1
Source: RNAcentral
AACUCUGAUUCACUAGUGCUAGUUUUAGUCUUCUUCUUACGUUUUUUCUUCACUUUUUCUUCAUCUGAACUGUCAUCCGCUUUUCUCUUUUUCUUUGCAUCUUUUUCUCCAAUCUCUUCAUCAUCUGUACUUGAAUCUCGUUUAGAUUUUUUCAAACGUACUUUCCCUUCGUCUUCGCUCGUAGAAUCCUUUCUUGACUUCCUCGUUCUUGACUUUUCAUCUUCCGAAGAACUGUCUCUUCGUUUUCGUGUCUUUUUCGGCUCAUCGUCCGAACUAGAAUCUUUUUUGGAUUUUCGUAAUCUGGACCUAUCGUCUUCACUUUUAUUUCUUUUUAUCUUCUGUUCCUCAUCUCCCGAAGAGGAAUCUUUCCUAGAUCUUUUUGAUUUCUUCGUUUCCUCUUCUAACUCUUUUUUCGGUCGCUUACGAGAUUCGUUCUCGUUCAUUUCCCGUUUUCUGCUAUCUUUUCUGUCUUUUGUACGUUCAUCUAAUGAAUCUAUGGAAACCAGUAGGAUUAAAAAUUUUUUAAAUUGUAAAGGAAUUAAAAUUGCAAAAUUAAGAUAUGUAAAAUUUACCGCCUCGAUUCGAGUCUCUAAUUUUUUUGGUUUUCUCUGCGUGCUUUCUUUCCUCUUCAGAAUCUGAACUAGAACCACAUUUGUCUGACUUCUCUUCAUCCGUGGAAGCUUUCCUGGAUUUCUUGGACUUCUCUAACUUUUUUGAUCUUUUCUUACCUGCAAUGAGAAACAAUGUAAAAAAUGUCGAAGAAACAUAAUUCCUGCAUGUUCAAUUUCUUCCUACCUUCGCUUUCACUAUCAUUUGAAUCUGUAGAACCAUCGCGUUUUUCCCUCUUCGAUUUUUUUAUUACUUCUGCUGGCUUUUUCAAGAGAACUGGCUCUGACGAUUUUUGACCUGAUUUCUUGUCCUCGGAUGUAGUUUUGAUUGAUUUGAUCGAUUUUUCAUCCUUUUUUAGCGGGAACGUAUCCGCAGAUGAAAAGCUUGAUUCUUCUUUUGGUGAUCCCUCUUUGUUAUCUUCUCUAAAAAUGACAAUAAAUGGUUAAAGUAAAUGAUUUUCUUUACAUAUCUUAAACAGUACUUCAAACUUACUUCGAUGGUUGUUUGAUUUUAACUGCUGCUAUGAUGUCUUCAGUCUUUUUAAACGGAGACGGCGUUCGAGAUAAACUCUUCGAAAACUAGAAUAAUGAAAAAAAAGCAUUUACAAAAUUAGAAAUAUAUGUUAUAUAUUACAAAUAUAAUACAAAUGACUGUCUUAAACUUACCCUGUGUCUAGUUACAGGAAGCGUAGCAGAUUGAAGUUUUUUAGGAGAAACGCUGAGAUCUGGUUUCUUGAUGUUCACAGGUUCAGCUUUCUUGAUGUCCUUUUCUGGUCGUUUGAUGGAUUCCUCCUUGAUAGGCUUCUCCUUUUCUUUACGUUUCUCAUCUGCGUGUUCACGAUCCCUCUCACGUUCUCGUUUUUCUUGAGACGAUUUCCGCUCUAGUGACUUUCUGCACACAGACAGCAAAAUUAUUAUUAGAGAAAGUAAGAACGUUUGUUCACUGCUAAGCAGGAACACACAACGUAGCUGCUUUACGCUCCGACAAUCGUAAGGUCUGUAACAAAACGUGAAUGUAUGAGAUAAUUCG